GGCAGCAGCUUGCUGCCUUUAAAAGGCAGCAAAACUGCUGCCUUAAAAAGGCAGCUGAAUUUUUAAAAAAAAAAAAAAAUUUUGAAGGCAAAACUGCUGCCUUUUAAAGGCAGCAGUUCGCUGCCUUAAAGGUAGCAUGCUGCUGCC
This 147-nucleotide microRNA precursor is filed under the name Olea europaea subsp. europaea. The record is from RNAcentral. Lineage: Eukaryota; Viridiplantae; Streptophyta; Magnoliopsida; Lamiales; Oleaceae.